Small nuclear RNA from Leptonychotes weddellii (Weddell seal), 104 nucleotides. The record is from RefSeq and is a predicted model, not a curated record. Lineage: Eukaryota; Metazoa; Chordata; Mammalia; Carnivora; Phocidae.
GUGCUCACUUUGGCAGCACAUACACUAAAGUUGGAACAAUACAGAGAUUAGCAUGCCCCCUGCACAGGGAUGACAGGCAAACCCGUGAAGCAUUCCAUUAAAAG